AAAAUCUAGUUAAUUAAUAACAUAAAAUUGUCAAUUUUAAAUAAGAUUUCAAAAAUUAUCUGUUUUU
This 67-nucleotide transfer RNA is filed under the name Nyctiophylax orbicularis. Its description in RNAcentral is "tRNA-Asp". Lineage: Eukaryota; Metazoa; Arthropoda; Insecta; Trichoptera; Polycentropodidae. The record is from RNAcentral.